Symphalangus syndactylus (siamang) is the source of this 878-nucleotide long non-coding RNA. RefSeq lists it as uncharacterized. Lineage: Eukaryota; Metazoa; Chordata; Mammalia; Primates; Hylobatidae. The record is from RefSeq and is a predicted model, not a curated record.
CAAAUCUCAUCCUGAAUUGUAGUUCCCAUAAUUCCCAUAUAUCGUGGGAGGGACCAGGUGGAGACAAUUGAACCAUGGGGCAGUUCCCCCAUCCUGUUCUCAUGAUAGUGAGUCAGCUAUCACAAGAGCUGACGGUUUGAUAAGGGGCUUCCCCCUUUGCUGGGCUCUCAUUCUUCUCCUCCCUGCCACCACGUGAAGAAGGAUGUGUGUGCUUCCCCUUCCACCAUGAUCAUAAGUUUCCUGAGGCUUCCUCAGCCGGGCUGAACUUUUCAGAUCUGACAUGGAAACAGGUUGGAAGUUAUCACUGCUAUCUACACAAUUAAAAAAAAAAACUGAAAAUCAGUGAAUUUUCUUGAACACAUCAGAGAACUGAGUUCACAGGGCAAACUAUACCAUCCUAGAACUUGAAGGAACAGACAGAUCCAGAGAGUUCCAGCCAGGAUCGGCUGACAUGGAACAAAAGCUGCUUUUGUCCUAAACUGCUUCAUGACAAGAAUGUUUGAAAGGCCAUGUUUUGAGAUGUGUACCAUCUGGCUGUAAGAAAUUGUAGUUGCCAACAUCAGGGAAACAGGCCUCUCUCCUUAGGAAUGCUUGAUCAUCCAACUAAGCACAUGAAGAUGAAAUGGAGUCUCGCUCUGUCACCCAGGCUGGAGUGUGAUGGCGCGAUUUCAGCACAGUGCAACCUCCACCUCCAGGGUUCAAGCAAUUCCCCUCAGCCUCCCGAGUGGCUGGGAUUACAGGCACCUGCCACCACGCCCGACUAAUUUUUGUAUUUUUAGUAGAGAUGAGGUCUCACCACUUGACCAAGAAAUUUGCUUUUUGAAUUUCUUAAUAUUAGUUGAGCUCUUUUGAUCCCCAUUUAUCCCCCCAAAAAUAAA